Molecule: long non-coding RNA, 2586 nt
Organism: Brienomyrus brachyistius
Lineage: Eukaryota; Metazoa; Chordata; Actinopteri; Osteoglossiformes; Mormyridae
Exons: 2
Source: RefSeq, a predicted model, not a curated record
UAUUGUGUUGUUCUGUAACGCCUGUUUGGUUUUGUAUGAAUCCCGUGGCAAAUUGGUUUUGAUCAUUUAAGUUCUCAUGAAGUUUCGUCCCGACGGUAGCAUAUUAGCGUGCUAGCUUACCGGCAUGCUAAGGAGACGGUGCGGUUCCACGUUCAUGACGUGCAUUUCGCUCUUUCAUCAGGGGGGCCAGGUGGACGGGACGCUCUGCUCAAACAGCUCAUGUUUUGUUUUACUAUUUCAGAUAGGGUAGCCGACGCAUCUGGGAAGGCACCAGUAAUGCUGAACGAUAUACAUACAGGUUUUGGAGCAACAUAUGCUGCCAUCCAGCUGACGUCUUUCAGAGAAGGCUUUGUACACACACAGUCACAUAUGGGUUUAUAUGAUUUGUAAAUCAUUGCAUUCUGUUUUUAUAUACAUUUAUACUGCGUCCAAACUGGGGUUGCAUUCAAUAUAACUAUUUAUUCUGUCUCGUGGGGGUGGCACGAUGCCUCAGUGCGAGGCGCUGUUACCUCACACAUUUAGGGAUUAGACAUCUGCAUGCCCUCUAAGUAUUAUGAAUUAUGUAUCUUUAAAUUGCCCGAGUUUAUGACUGUGUGCCCUGCAACUGACUGGCAUAACAUCCAGGAUGUACCCCAGCAUUGUGUCCUAUGCUUCCUGGGACAGGCUCCAGGCUACCCAUGAACCUGUACUGGAGAAGCAGUUGGAAGAUGCUCGAAUAUCCAUCCACAGUACACUUGUGAGACAAGAACUGCAGCAGAUUCAAUGGAAAAGGAGCAGAGGUGGUGAACAUUACCAUGAACGUCUGGCCUCGGCUGAAGGGCAUGCCUCCGGAACGUUCCUCCGUGCCCCAUCUGCCUUGCACCUGGUUGUUGCGCACCACUGUGUUCUCGUCAAAGCGGGGGUUAAAAUGCAGGGCGAUCCCAGAUCUGGAGCACAGGUUGAUGUGGAACCUGGGCAGCGAUGUCAAAAGGUGUUAUUUUCUGUUAUUUCUCCUGUCCUUUGUCCCCUUACCUCUAACCUACAAUCACCUGUAUGAGGACGAAACACUUCGAUUUAGAGAAGGAAGCCUUUCUUAUAAACGGAUGCAGUGACAUCAGGCUGAAAAAAAUUGCUUCCAGUGCAUAAAGUGAAAAGUGACUGUUGUCAAUGUUACGGGUGAACAACUAAUUGAACAUGUGAAACGCCAUCCUGGCAGCCCUAUCCUGUGUCACACAGGUGUGAGAUCCUGUUUGCACCAGACCUUUUAGCGUCAGGAUGGACCACGCCCUGGAUGGUGAUGUUCCUCCCUGCAUAAAGUCCACCAGGUAUGAUGGCCUUGUACGGAAUGACCUGGGUGCACAAAAAACAAUUGGUGUCACCAGGGCACUGUGGCCACGCCCAUUGUGAUGUGAGCACCAUGGCAACGACGAUUAUUGGAUGAUAAGUCGAGGGGGGGUGUACUUACAAAGGAGGGAGAAUAUCCAGGCAUGGCCUGUAAAAUAAAGAGUUAUGACAACAAUAUUAAAUUAAAUUAAAUCACCGUCAGAUAGAAAGUCACCUACAUCCCUGUAAGGAGAUAUUUUCUUUGCCAUUUCUUUAAAUGAUGCAUAAUGUCUCACAGAACAACAAACACAUAUCUGAUUAUGACCAUUCUUUCAUUUACCCAUUAAUCCGGAAUUAAUCCUUACAAGCUUUUGGGACAAAAGAAAGAAAAUUUCUACCUUCACCCUUUUUAUACAUAUAUAUAUAUAUAUAAACUGAAGAGCAAAUUUCCAAAAGCCACUCUUUAACAAAAGUUCUUCAUUGGGUUACAUGAGGACUGAGCGAGUUUUGGUUCUCAGUACUGUAACAUACGACAAGGAAGCCUGAGUUUAGGUAAUUCGCGGUCUUGUCUCAAAAAUCACAAAAAACAUAGAGUUUUGAAAAUUUGCUCAUUUGGGGAGAGGGACGGAGAGAGAGAGAGGCCAAAUAAUUUUAUCUACCAGCCCCCAGUAUUUACUCAUUUCACAGUGAUGCACUUAGGCAGAGAGAGAGAAGGGAAGUGAAAUAGAGGAAACGCCCAAGUAAUUUUAUCUACCAGCCCCCGAUAUUUGCUCAUUCCAUAGUGAUGCACUUUGACUGACAUUCAAGAUGUCCUAGUCCAGUGUUUCCCAAUCCGAUCCUCAGGGGUACACAGACAGUUCAUGUUUUAUCUUGGGAGAGAGCAAAAAUAUGGACCAUCACUUAAAUGGAUGGUCACUUAAGACCAAAAGCUGGGGAUUUAGCUCUGCUUUGCUGACAGCAAUAUUUCCUACAUAGCAUGUGCAAGCUAAAAAAAAAUAAAAAAUCAGGAUCGUUUCCUGAUUACACUGAAGAAAUGGCUGGAUACAUGCAAUAGUAUAAAGGGAAAACGUUUGGAAAAGUCCUAUGACCUACUUUGGUCAUAAAAAGAAACUAAUAAUAAAAAGCUAAAGCAGUAAAAUAUCCAGCUGCCCAGCUAAGUAAUUCUGUUACUUGAAUGAAAGCUGCCCAUUAACUGGGCCUCCUGGCUGCACACACAGCAGAUGUGGGAAGUUUAACCAGCAGCUCUGGAGGUGUGAAGCCAUAGCGCCACCUGCUGGCCUGCCA